Molecule: long non-coding RNA, 1270 nt
Filed under: Anas platyrhynchos platyrhynchos (common mallard)
Lineage: Eukaryota; Metazoa; Chordata; Aves; Anseriformes; Anatidae
Description: lncRNA (ENSAPLG00000026101.1)
Source: RNAcentral
AUGAGAGCACAGAGGUCAGAAACCAACUGCCUUGUCUCUGAAAAAGAACUGGACGAGACAGAGAAUUCUAUGGGUUUUUAUGCCAAUGAGGGAUAUGAAAGCUGGGAGAAGAUCCCUAGAGGACAGCAGCAGCUGGGGCAGGCCAUGACGUGGAGACCAUCCAGAGCGAGUGUGGAGACAGCUGAUGCAGGCAGCAGCCUCUCUGGACACUCUCCCAGCUCUCAGGGACUGGGAUGUACACAAGCACAGACAGCUGUUUCUUCCCUGUAGGACAAAAGGGCCACACUGGAUAUAUGGACUACUGGGCCCCGGUCCCUGCCUUCACAAGCAAUCACCUCUUACAAUUCUUUUUCUGAACUUAAUGAGGACUGCCUGAAAAUCUCUUCAUUUAUGCUGUCCUUGAACAGCUGUUCCAGAGAGCACAAUUGCAAAAAAGGGGGGCACUCUCUAUUUCCUAGCGUAAGUGUAUUUAUAUGUAGCAUGCAAAAUAUUGGUUUGUGCCAACACUGUCCUUUCUCUGAAGUGUUCCUAAACCACUGCCGUGGUACAGUUAUAAGUAGAAAGUAUAUAUACCCCUUUUACUGCUCCCCACUUGGCUGAGCAAGUGAAGGGCUGCAAGCCCUCUCUCCUAACACGGCCUUCCCCUUCCCCACCCUCUGCUACCUGUUGCACUCACUCUUAUGAUGAGCAACCAGCCCAGUAGGCAGGGCUCUUCAUAAGGUCUCAUCACUGCAAAUACUUCCUAGAAUCUCAUUUGCUUUUCAUAUGGUUGUCUCCAAUGGUGGUUCAUAGUCAUUCUUUGUUUAGUUGGCAAAUACAUGCCUCUCUCUCUGUCAACAAUAAGGUCUGUAAACAACAAAGUUUCAUGUGUUUGAUUUUUGUUUUCAUCAAAUAUAUAGUUCAUGGUUUUAUUGAAAUUCAUUCCAUUUCCACUGCUGUGGUGCUGAAGUUCAUCUGGUAAUUUGAAUAGGAUAUCCAAGCCUCCUCUCAUUUUAUGAUACUGUCCAGCUUCAAGGCAUUAGCAAAUUUCAUCAACAUUACUGUUACUUAUUGUGCUAAAGUCAUGGAUGGAAAUGUUAAAGAAGACAGGUCUUAAGAUCAGAGAAUUUCCCCUAUUAUCAUCACUCUAAUUUCAUGUUUUGCAGUCAUUGCUACUCCCUUUGCGCUGCAGACUCAAGAUAACAUGUACAGACAGAAGAGCUUGUGCUUGCCGAGCAGUAUCUUCAUGGAGCUUUACAAAGGCAGCACCAACACAGAUUACAGCUGGGAU